This 429-nucleotide ribosomal RNA is filed under the name Gemmatimonadota bacterium. RNAcentral describes it as "Gemmatimonadetes bacterium partial 16S ribosomal RNA". It matches the Rfam family "Bacterial small subunit ribosomal RNA", at positions 355 to 776 of the family's 1533-position model. Lineage: Bacteria; Pseudomonadati; Gemmatimonadota. The record is from RNAcentral.
UAGGGAAUCUUCGGCAAUGGACGAAAGUCUGACCGAGCAACGCCGCGUGAGUGAAGAAGGUUUUCGGAUCGUAAAACUCUGUUGUUAGAGAAGAACAAGGACGUUAGUAACUGAACGUCCCCUGACGGUAUCUAACCAGAAAGCCACGGCUAACUACGUGCCAGCAGCCGCGGUAAUACGUAGGUGGCAAGCGUUGUCCGGAUUUAUUGGGCGUAAAGCGAGCGCAGGCGGUUUCUUAAGUCUGAUGUGAAAGCCCCCGGCUCAACCGGGGAGGGUCAUAGGAAAAUGGGAGACUUGAGUGCAGAAGAGGAGAGUGGAAUUCCAUGUGUAGCGGUGAAAUGCGUAGAUAUAUGGAGGAACACCAGUGGCGAAGGCGGCUCUCUGGUCUGUAACUGACGCUGAGGCUCGAAAGCGUGGGGAGCAAACAGG